GAUGAACGCUGGCGGCGUGCCUAAUACAUGCAAGUCGAGCGAACGGACGAGAAGCUUGCUUCUCUGAUGUUAGCGGCGGACGGGUGAGUAACACGUGGAUAACCUACCUAUAAGACUGGGAUAACUUCGGGAAACCGGAGCUAAUACCGGAUGAUAUUUUGAACCGCAUGGUUCAAAAGUGAAAGACGGUCUUGCUGUCACUUAUAGAUGGAUCCGCGCUGCAUUAGCUAGUUGGUAAGGUAACGGCUUACCAAGGCAACGAUGCAUAGCCGACCUGAGAGGGUGAUCGGCCACACUGGAACUGAGACACGGUCCAGACUCCUACGGGAGGCGGCAGUAGGGAAUCUUCCGCAAUGGGCGAAAGCCUGACGGAGCAACGCCGCGUGAGUGAUGAAGGUCUUCGGAUCGUAAAACUCUGCUAUUAGGGAAGAACAUAUGUGUAAGUAACUGUGCACAUCUUGACGGUACCUAAUCAGAAAGCCACGGCUAACUACGUG
RNAcentral lists this ribosomal RNA (497 nucleotides) under uncultured bacterium. RNAcentral describes it as "partial 16S ribosomal RNA". It matches the Rfam family "Bacterial small subunit ribosomal RNA", at positions 28 to 507 of the family's 1533-position model. The record is from RNAcentral.